CUAUUUCCCAUGAAGUGAUGGGACCAGAUGACAGUCCUUUCUAGCUUCUUAUAAAAGCAGUGUUGGCUCCUCCCCAUCCCCAGCUGAGGUUCCAACACUUUGAGUCAGACAAGACUUAGCUAUUGAACAACGACAGCAAGGCCCCCAGCCCCAGAUAACUAAUCACACAGCAGUGGGAGAGGGGGCCGGCCUUGGGACCACUGAAAAGGCUUAUAUGACUGUGUGGCUUCUUGGGACAAAGACCUAGCUGAUGACAAGACAUUGGCGAUUUCAGCAGCCACUGUGAUGGGGGUUCGCUGCGGUGGUGAUGACUGCAGAGAGACCGCGUGGUGUGGACUGUGCUGCGGAAAGCUGGGGCCUUGCAUUUCUAGCUAGAGGUGCAGUCAUGGACAGAACCAGAGAGCCCCAGUAACAGCCCUAGAAGAAAUCUCUUAUUCUGUACCUGUGGAGUCAUCAGAACUGAGGACCAGACUCCAAUCCUGAUUGUUUGAGUUGUAGAUUAUGGUGUGAGUUGAAUACACAGUCCUACCAAGUCUCUCCUAUUAAGGGUGGAUUGCUUCUUGCCUGGAGAAUCCCAGGGAUGGGGGAGCCUGGUGGGCUGCCCUCUCUGGGGUCGCACAGAGUCGGACACUACUGAAGCGACUUAGCAGCAGCAGCAGCAGCUAAUUAAGAAGAAGUGGACCCCAAGAUCUGGGAUGGAGAUGUUUGAAUAAAACGUGAAAACCCAAACCACCUGAACCUUCCUCAACACAGCAGGAUCCCCCUCCUCGUGUGUGUGCAGAGUCUGGCCUUUCCUUGAUUUGCUAAAGAACCAGGAUUGCUCUUCUCAGUGGCAAAUAAGGCAGAAUUCAAAAUGACUCAAAUCAUCCAGAAGAAGGAAUGAGAGAGUGGACAAACAAAAAUCAUAGAGGGAAACAGAAAGACGUUCAGAACUCUUCAUAAAUCCAGCCCAAGCACACUAGUGACUGCAGCACGCUUGUGAGUGGGUGAAACGCCCUGUCAAAAGGCUGAGACCGCCGGAAUGAGGGAAGGAAAAAGCAGGAUUUAAUCACAGGCUAUGUGAGGACCUAUUUUAAUACAAAGACAUACACUGGUUGGCAGUAAAUGAGCAGAGGAGAGAUAUACCACGAAAACAGCAAGUGUAGCAAGGCUGGAGUUGUCACAUUAACAUCAGGCACGGAGAAGGCGAUGGCACCCACUCCAGUGCUCUUGCCUGGAAAAUCCCAUGACGGAGGAGCCUGGAAGGCUGCAGUCCAUGGAGUCGCUGAGGGUCGGACUCAACUGAGUGACUUCACUUUCACUUUUCACUUUCAUGCAUUGGAGAAGGAAAUGGCAACCCGUUCCAGUGUUCUUGCCUGGAGAAUCCCAGGGAUGGUGGAGCCUGGUGGGCUGCCGUCUGUGGGGUCGCACAGAGUCGAACACGACUGAAGUGACUUAGCAGCAGCAGAAUACACUUGGAGACAAGGAGUGUCGAGAGACAGAGAAGGACGUCUUGUGCUGCUGAAAGGGUCAGUUCAUUGGGAAGACACACCUGUUACUGCGUGUGUGCCUGAGGACAGGCCCUCAGAGUACAUGAAGCCAGUGGGACUUACAGAAGUGAUGGGUGAGGAUGCAAGUAACUCAUUUCCACCAAAAAAAAAAAGUGUGAAACUGGACAAAAUUGCCCAAAUGAACCAAGACAUGGCACGCAGAAUCAACCGGAGAUGGACCACAAGUUGGCAAGCGCUCGCUCCUGAAGAAGCGACGUCUCCAGGGAGACACAUGCACCUGUGGUCUCACCAGGGCUCUUCCAGGCCCACCACACAACGGGAGCUGGGAGGGUGUGCCCCCCGUGCAGGGCGGCUGCCGGCCGUCAGCGGAGGGCCCAGAAGGGGCAGGCUCCGGCGAAAAGCUGUGGCUCACCAGACAUAAUGAUUUGCUGUUCUGACAUCAGAUCAACAGAGAGAAAUUCCAAUUAGGCUUUGAAGACGCACAUAUUUCAGGAACUUGUCAUCCAGCCCUUCCCCUGCCUUACUGCAAAGAGCUAAUCGGGAG
This is a long non-coding RNA of Bos taurus (domestic cattle), 2034 nucleotides long. NCBI's taxonomy places the organism in Eukaryota, Metazoa, Chordata, Mammalia, Artiodactyla, Bovidae. The record is from Ensembl.